GACAGAGGGUGCAAACGUUGCUCGGAAUUACUGGGCGUAAAGCGUGCGCAGGCGGUUAUGCAAGACAGAUGUGAAAUCCCCGGGCUCAACCUGGGAACUGCAUUUGUGACUGCAUGGCUAGAGUACGGUAGAGGGGGAUGGAAUUCCGCGCGUAGCAGUGAAAUGCGUAGAUAUGCGGAGGAACACCGAUGGCGAAGGCAAUCCCCUGGACCUGUACUGACGCUCAUGCACGAAAGCGUGGGGAGCAAACAGG
This 253-nucleotide ribosomal RNA is filed under the name uncultured bacterium. Its description in RNAcentral is "partial 16S ribosomal RNA". It matches the Rfam family "Bacterial small subunit ribosomal RNA", at positions 524 to 776 of the family's 1533-position model. The record is from RNAcentral.